UACCCUUGACAUGCCUGGAAUUGUGCAGAGAUGUGCAAGUGCUCGAAAGAGAACCAGGACACAGGUGCUGCAUGGCCGUCGUCAGCUCGUGUCGUGAGAUGUUGGGUUAAGUCCCGCAACGAGCGCAACCCUUGUCAUUAGUUGCUACGAAAGGGCACUCUAAUGAGACUGCCGGUGACAAACCGGAGGAAGGUGGGGAUGACGUCAGGUCCUCAUGGCCCUUAUGGGUAGGGCUACACACGUCAUACAAUGGCCGGUACAGAGGGCUGCCAACCCGCGAGGGGGAGCUAAUCCCAGAAAACCGGUCGUAGUCCGGAUCGCAGUCUGCAACUCGACUGCGUGAAGUCGGAAUCGCUAGUAAUCGCGGAUCAGCUUGCCGCGGUGAAUACGUUCCCGGGUC
This 400-nucleotide ribosomal RNA is filed under the name uncultured bacterium. RNAcentral describes it as "bacterial SSU rRNA". It matches the Rfam family "Bacterial small subunit ribosomal RNA", at positions 976 to 1380 of the family's 1533-position model. The record is from RNAcentral.